This 573-nucleotide long non-coding RNA is filed under the name Bos taurus (domestic cattle). RNAcentral's name for it is "long non-coding RNA NONBTAT012767". Lineage: Eukaryota; Metazoa; Chordata; Mammalia; Artiodactyla; Bovidae. The record is from RNAcentral.
AGGAGUCUUGUUUUAAAAUGUAUCCUUACAUAACCCUGGACAAUUUAUUAUGCUCUUACUAUUUUUGCAGUUUUCAUCAACUCUUGCUUAUACUCCUAAUGAGGCUCUUCUACAUUUAUCCAUGAAAAUUAAGUGAAUAUCUUGCCUUCUGUUAAACUGAGGGAAUCUUUAUGAAGUCUGUAUUCUCAAAAAUAACUACAUGGCUAUCUAAAACUCAUUCAAUUCUCACUAUCCCUACCCAGGAAGUACCUCCCUGUGCUAGUAGCUGAUAGAUCUGAAAGUGAUGCAAGUGUCUCCAGGAAAGGGAUUGAUCAUAGCUGAGUGCCUGUUAUCUUUGGUCAGGAAAAGAGACUGCUUCACAGUCUAGGAUAUUCUCUUUGAUGCGUGACUAUAUGGUACACAGAGACCGAAAAGUACUGACAUCCCAGUGUGGUAGCUGGACAGAAGGUGGAGCAUUUGGAAGUCAUUUCUAUAUGUAAUUAAGAGACUUGCAAGGUUUGGCCAGGUUUCCCCCAGACCCCCUGCCUCCAAUUCACCUUAUGGCAGAGUGUGGAUUAUCCUUGCUACCUGUCA